Molecule: long non-coding RNA, 197 nt
Organism: Lolium perenne
Lineage: Eukaryota; Viridiplantae; Streptophyta; Magnoliopsida; Poales; Poaceae
Source: RefSeq, a predicted model, not a curated record
GGCCAGAUGAAGAAUAACUGCAAUUCAGGCCAUCCCAGGCAAAUGCUUUCGGUGCACAAGGAUCACCCAUCCAGUUUUUCUUCAGCAUGUACGUCGUGCGAAUUUCCAUCAUGGCUUUGGCUGUUAAUAUGGAAAAAGGAGAAGCACUGUGUUGUAGUGUUACAUACCGUCUCCAUUGUCCGUACCAAGCUCAGUCA